UCCGUAGGUGAACCAGCGGAGGGAUCAUUACUGAGUUACCGCUCUAUAACCCUUUGUGAACGUACCUAACCGUUGCUUCGGCGGGCAGGGGAAGCCUCUCGCGGGCCUCCCCUCCCGGCGCCGGCCCCCACCACGGGGACGGGGCGCCCGCCGGAGGAAACCAAACUCUAUUUACACGACGUCUCUUCUGAGUGGCACAAGCAAAUAAUUAAAACUUUUAACAACGGAUCUCUUGGUUCUGGCAUCGAUGAAGAACGCAGCGAAAUGCGAUAAGUAAUGUGAAUUGCAGAAUUCAGUGAAUCAUCGAAUCUUUGAACGCACAUUGCGCUCGCCAGCAUUCUGGCGAGCAUGCCUGUUCGAGCGUCAUUUCAACCCUCAAGCACCGCUUGGUUUUGGGGCCCCACGGCCGACGUGGGCCCUUAAAGGUAGUGGCGGACCCUCCCGGAGCCUCCUUUGCGUAGUAACUAACGUCUCGCACUGGGAUCCGGAGGGACUCUUGCCGUUAAACCCCCAAAUUCUUUACAGGUUGACCUCGGAUCAGGUAGGAAUACCCG
This 554-nucleotide ribosomal RNA is filed under the name Colletotrichum acutatum. RNAcentral describes it as "eukaryotic LSU rRNA". The stretch from base 213 to 366 matches the Rfam family "5.8S ribosomal RNA". Lineage: Eukaryota; Fungi; Ascomycota; Sordariomycetes; Glomerellales; Glomerellaceae. The record is from RNAcentral.